Trifolium pratense (red clover) is the source of this 6436-nucleotide long non-coding RNA. RefSeq lists it as uncharacterized. The record is from RefSeq and is a predicted model, not a curated record. The transcript has 2 exons. Lineage: Eukaryota; Viridiplantae; Streptophyta; Magnoliopsida; Fabales; Fabaceae.
UUAAAAAAAAUAAAAAAUUAAAACAAAAUCAAUGUCUGCAACUCUUUGAACACAAACACACCUAAACCCUAAAAUCACUCUGCGACGAAAUCACAUCAUCGCCGUUUCAAUUUCUAUCGAGAUCCUUCACAAACCCUAAAAUCACUCUCUAUGGACGAAACCAGAGAUUACAACAAUUUCUUGCUUCGUUCAUGUUGCAAUUCUCGCCACCAAUCGCAGAGCUGUGAACGUGUUCAUUCUUCAGAUCGCGUCACUUCCUUAACCGGAAACUCAUCGAUCUCACCGUGAAACCUAUCUAUCUCACUGUGAAAAUCGAUUUCAUUACGAAACUCAUCGAUCUCAUUCACGAACUUUUACGGAUCAGAGAAGAUCUGAAGGAAGCUCAAGGUAAAAUCCUUCAUCUGGUAAAGAUGUCUUUCCUUCAUUAUUUCGUUUUUUGAUUCUCAGGCAAAGCAAAGGAAUCAAGAGAUUUUACGGCUCAGAGAAGAUCUGAAGGAAGCUCAAGGUUCAUGUCGAUCCUCUCUCUUUUAAAUGCUUAUUCACAUGAUUCUGAGUUUUGAUUGUAUAACUUAGAUAUUAUUCAAGCUCAAUUUGCUUAGUUUUGGUUAACUAUAACCGAUUUAUGGCAAUUGUUGCAUACAAAAAAUAUCAGAAGAAAUUGCGAGACUUCAAUUUUGUAUAUUCUUCAGAUGAAGAUUGAAGUGAGUUUAGGAGGAAGUGGGUUAUGGAAUGAAGAUGAAAAAGCUAUGGUGAUUGAAGUUUUAGAGGAAAUUAGCGAUGGUUUCGGGGAAGAAAGAUGGUCUUAAAUCUAUACUCAGUUCUGCAGGAACAACACAACUCAUUGGAUUGGAUCUUGUUCUUUGUGGAUCUGGAUUGAAAACGGAAAAGAAAAAAAAAAGAAAAAAAAAGUCAAUGGCACAACAGCAGUAAGUUGCUGCGUGUUUUUUUUUUUUUUUUUUUGUAGUAAUAUUUUAGAGAUUUUAAUUCAGGCACGCAAAACAAUGCUGGUCAAUGGCGGAAGUGACAGUUCCGCCAUGCCUCCUUGAUGGCACAGUUGUGGGUUCCGCCAUUGAUGGGGACCUGCAUACGUCAGUUUUUGUCCCAAAACAGGGGUAUUACGAAAUUAUUUUUGAAAAUAGGGGUAUUACGGAAAUAAAUAAAAAAAGUGGGGGUAUAGUAAGAAAAAAAUCCCGAAAUUUUUAGGAUGGGAAAGGUAAUAUUGAUGAGUGAAAAUCUAUACAUGGUUUUGAAUUGGAAAAAUUGUUGUACUAGACCUGAUAAAUAUUUUGAAGGAAACAAGCUAAGAAUGAAUAGGUGAGUAGCUUAAUGGAGGUAAUAUUUGAUGUCCCUACAAAGAGAUUGAAUAGAAUUUUGUUUUUUUUUUUUAUAAAAAAAAAUUGAAUGAGUAUCAACAAGAAAACCAUUCAACAAAACUUACGUGCAGGCAUUAAUUAUGCAAAGAAAUAUGCAAGACAAGGAAUAAAGAGCUCCUUCUAAUGCUAACCAUUGUAUCUGUAUACUGAUGCUCAAUAGUUUCAAAGUAUCAAGUCAUAAAAAACAAUUCUGAAAUAAAUAUAGGAAAAUGUUAAAUAGUGACUACAUUUUCAAGGAUGCAAAAACCAAUCAAAGUUACAACUCUUAAUCAUACCCACAAAAUUAUCAUGUCUACAACUAUAGUUUGGAAUUUACCAUCAAUCGUAAAGUUUCCAAUAUUAACAUUCAUAAACAGAGAUAAUAUUAAUUCUCACCAGUCACCAAUCUAUUGCACAUAGCAAGAACAUAGCACAAGUGAAAACAAUGCUUAAACCCAAUUACAGGAUCCUUUGGGUAGAAACAAGUUCUUUUCACAUGGGAUUCCCUAUUUUAUUGUAACACUAAUAUCUAAUGGUUACAUGUUUUGCUUUAAUUUAGGGAAUUAAGCAUAUAAUUAAUCGUGCUUUUAUUUUGAUAACGGUCGGAACAAUCCUAAUUAAUAGGCUUGAUUGUUUUACCUAUAGAAAGGUUUUUACGGGACAAUAUAUAUAUGGUCAUGAGUUUUGGUAAAAGAUGAAAAUGGAAGAAACUUUAUGUAUACAUAACAUUCACUUCCAUGAUUGUUUCAUAACAAGAUAAAAUAUAUUUUCUAUACAAUGUCUGAGUUACCUACCUUGUUAAUAUUCUCGUGUCUUGAUAGCCUCGGUAUGUUUAUCACCGAGAAGAACCGGUUGUAUUUUGGGGGAGUUGCGCAAUAUAUGCGGAUAAUUCCUUAGUUCAGUGAUUACACGCCUCCGGUUAUUUGUUUUUUAGCCAUCCGCAACAACAAUCUAAGGAAUUAUGGCUGAAGAUGGUUACGGCAAUGGCAACAAGGUUGAGGUUGAUGGCUUCGCUUCUCCCACAGUUAUUUGGCACUCCAAUUGAUGGUCAUCUACACUACCGAUGUGAUUCUGUAUUUUUCUCCAAUUAUUUUAUGGCGCAAAAAUGUGGGGGUUAGUCUACUAAAGGGACCAUCAUGGUGAUCAAAUUCUUUGUAAGUUUACAUUUCCCCUUGAAACCAUCUACGAGGGAGUCAGGUGCAUAUUCUAACCUUUAAUCUCCGCAAGUUCUGAAUUUUAUGUUGAGUUUGUGAUUGUAUUGAAUUUGUCUAGCUAAAAAUAUUUGUUGUGAAUAAAAAAUUUGUGCUGAGGAACUAGGACUCUUUAGCUUAAUUCCUAAAAGGUUUCAUAUAUAUCGUUUUGCAUGUGCCGUGUUAUUGAAAAAUUAUUAUUGUUAAUUUUAAAAUUAAAUGUGUGUUUGUUUCUUUAAGUAUGUGCCUAUAGCUAUUUGGUAAAUUUUAUUAUUUAGUUUGAUCGGCUGAACUUGGAUAUAUGAGCGAUUGCUGAUAUAGAAGGAUUGAUCGUAAUAUAAAAACCUUUGCAUUUCAAUUGAUAAAAUUAGAAUUUUCUCAUAAAAGUGGACAGCUUAAUUUGAUAAUUAAUGGAAUGUUUUUGGCAAUAUGUUGGUCUUUAUAUUAAAGAGAAUACUUAUGACUAUUAGGAGAAUUGUCAUUUGUCAAACUUGAGUGUUUUUGAGAAUCUGUUUGAAAAGUUUAAUCCUUCCUCCGUAGACUUUCAUGUGGAUUUCUAGUCAUGUGAUAGUGUCAUUGGUGCUUGCAUAUAUGUGUUAAUAGUUUGUGAUAUAAUAUAGUCAUUUUCUAAUAGUUUUUUGUGGUGUGCUAUGUUAACUUGUCCUACCAUAUUUUUAAGUAAUAUGAGUAAUUUGAUAACGACAUAAAUCUUGUGGAGUUUAUAACCUUGUAUGAUUUGAGUUCAUAAGAAUGUGUGAUUAAUUACUAAGUAUCCCUUAUGAGUCUAAUAUGUACUACCUGAUCGAAAGAAUAAAUAAAUUGAAGUAAAUCCCAAUUUAUUGGAGGAUUAAUGUAUUAUUCAUUUAAUAAUUUUAUUGUAGAAAUAUUUUUGUGAUGAUCUUAACCUCGUAAAAUAUUUAAAGAGCUAUCGCUCAUAAAUUGAUGAAAAUUAUUGGUGAUAGAAUCAUCAAAUAUUUGAUAGAUGAUAUGAUAUAUUGUGAAGUACCCAUUGUAUCAAAGUUAUACAAUGAUGUUUGAUAAUAAAUCUAUAAUUGGAUCUAAUUUUCUUCUUUGUGAAGAUGUUGUCGUUUAUAAUUUAUCUAAGCAGAUUUUAUGAGGUAUAGUGUGGAUUAGCCAUUGUAUUAGAACAAUACAAUGAUGUAUCAUGAGAUUUGUUUAUGUAAAAUAUAUAUUUAAGAUUUAUUUCUCUAUUGUGAGAGUGUUAUCACUUGAAAACUAUUCAAGUAAGUUUGUGUGAUAAAUUCACAAAUGAAGUCACAUUUAUCUAAUGCGGGGUGUCGCUUAGAAAGUAUUCUAAGUAGACUUGUAUAAUAAAUUUAUGAUGAUUGGAUAUGUGCCAAUGAGAUAAAUCUAUAAGUAGAUUUAUUUUAUUGAUGAAUAAGUUGUCGCUUAGUAGCCAUCUAAGUAGACUUGUUUAAACUUAUUGUGAAAAUCGAGUUUACUUUAUAGACUCAAGAAAUUGUGAGAUAAAUUGACUUUGAGACGUCUUAGUCAAUAUUAGUGAAUUGAUCGGAUCCGUUGACUUAACUCCUGGGAAGAAAAUUGAUAGGAAUGGACUAUGCCACUGAAAACCGACAAGUAAUGGGAACCCAACCUUUGUGUUUGGAGAUCCCAUGAAGAAGGUUCAUAUGGGUAAAAACAAGUUAUUUGUUAGUUAUCUUAGCACUAAAAUUUUGUUCAUUUCCUAUGUGUUAUGAUAAUGGCUAUGAGAAGUGCUAAAUUAAAAUUAAAUUUGAGGGGUAAGCUUUAAAGGCUUUUAAUGAUUACCAUAAGCCCUUAUGGGUGGUGUAUGGUUGUAGCAUACAUUAGAUGGAAUCACCUAUAUGAGUGUCAAGUGGGGCCGCUUGCAUGAGACCGUGGCGGGUCUCUAGAGCACUCAUGAAAACCAGACACGCGCACGGCCUAAAUGCGCAACACCGCGUAACACGAGAAUUGUGGGGGUGUGAUGUGGAUGUUAUACCGCUAACAUACGCCAAGUGUCUUUGGUUCAUAUAGCUUGCUACACCAAAUUCACUGUGUGUUAAGUAUAUCAUUCUAGCACUGGUUCAUAUAGCUUGCUACACCAGUUUGAUGCAUCGCACUCAAAAGUGACUCAGACAUUAUUUUCAAAACAAGUUAAUAUUUUUAUUUUGGUUGAAAACUUUUGAAAUAUGUGGGGGAUUGUUGGAAAUUUGAGAAUAUUUCAAAAGUUUAAAUUAAUAUGUGUCUCAUAAUUUAAGUGAGAAAUCGAGAAAUAUAUUUUAUUAAAAAAUAUUUAUAUUCUAUUAUAUUUAUUUAAAUUUUUUAUCUAAAUUGACUUAGUCUUUUCACAUAGGAUUCCCUAUUUUAUUGUAACACUAAUAUCUAAUGGUUACAUGUUUUGCUUUAAUUUAGGGAAUUAAGCAUAUAAUUAAUCGUGCUUUUAUUUUGAUAACGGUUGGAACAAUCCUAAUUAAUAGGCUUGAUUGUUUUACCUAUAGAAAGGUUUUUACGGGACAAUAUAUAUAUGGUCAUGAGUUUUGGUAAAAGAUGAAAGUGGAAGAAACUUUAUGUAUACAUAACAUUCACUUCCAUGAUUGUUUCAUAACAAGAUAAAAUAUAUUUUCUAUACAAUGUCUUUGUUACCUACCUUGUUAAUAUUCUCGUGUCUUGAUAGCCUCGGUAUGUUUAUCACCGAGAAGAACCGGUUGUAUUCUGGGGGAGUUGCGCAAUAUAUGCGGAUAAUUCCUUAGUUCAGUGAUUACACGCCUCUGGUUAUAUGUUUUUUCAGCCAUCCGCGACAACAUUAAGUUAUUGGUUUGUGUUUGUGGUUGUUACUUGAUUAUUGUAUAUUUGGAGUAAUGAACUGAUUAUGCCUAUCAAAAUUUCCAUGUUACUUGAUUAAGAGCCUUAUUAUUGGGCAUGGGCACAUUGGAGAUGAUUAAGAGCUUUAACAUUGGUGUUUAUUUCUGCUAUCAUGCAACAAUCCUCACCUUACAUAACUUGAUUGCUUUUUUAACAUUGGUGUUUAUUUCUGCUAUCAUGCAACAAUCCUCACCUUACAUAACUUGAUUGCUUUUUUGCAGCUUUGUUGGGAUCGGAAUUCUAGUUUGAGUAGUAAGUUAUUGGAUGUCUUAGAUGAUACGUUUAGGUGUGUUGAAAAGUUUUGCAUAUUUGUAUAGCAAACUGAGAUCACAUUGAAACUAUGUUUAGUUAAGAAAUCAUGGUCAUGAUGAUGAGUUUUGUGUUAAAUUUUUAAUGCAUGAUGUUGUCUUGUCUUUUUCUACCGUUUGUUUCAGAAACUCAUUGACUUUUUUUAAUUUGCUCUAACAACAUAUCUUCUCGUGAGGGUAUAUAGAUUAUCCAAAAGCAUUUAAUUGAGUGUGAAAGGGUGAGUUAUCUAUGUGAGGAUCUUAUUGCUUAUAUGUUGAACUAGGAGUCUGAAUGUGUUAGUUUGCUUAUCUUUAAUUCUGUUUUACAGAAAACAUUUACAUGGGCUCGAGAACACAAAGACAAAGUGUGACACAAUUUUGAAAAGAGUAGCGUUAUUUGGACAAUAAUUUUUUGGACAACUUUUGGGACAACAUUUUUUCCCUUUAUCUUUUGGGACAAAAACAUUAAAAAAAGUGAUUAGGAGAGAGGGUAAGAUUCACAAUGAGAGUGUGAGAGAGAAAGUUGUCUCAAAUGUUGUCUAAAAUUGAAUGUACAAAUAUAAUUUCUCUUUUGAAAAAAAGGGUGCAGUUAAGAUGUGUCGGAUAUUGCAAGAAGUUUGGAUGGGAGAGGGAGUGUGGAAUGACUCGCCGAAAUAUUGGAUGACUUGAUGAAGAAUUUUAUUCCUAACUUAAUGAUUAGGACAUUUUGGGAUUUAUGUUUUUUGACUUACAUUUAUGAAAUUUAUGAAUAUUGGUUUUGAUA